UAAACGACUCUCGGCAACGGAUAUCUCGGCUCACGCAUCGAUGAAGAACGUAGCAAAAUGCGAUACUUGGUGUGAAUUGCAGAAUCCCGUGAACCAUCGAGUUUUUGAACGCAAGUUGCGCCCAAUGCCAUUUGGUUGAGGGCACGCCUGCCUGGGCGUCACGC
Molecule: ribosomal RNA, 164 nt
Filed under: Youngia japonica
Lineage: Eukaryota; Viridiplantae; Streptophyta; Magnoliopsida; Asterales; Asteraceae
Also listed under: 2 other names
Description: 5.8S ribosomal RNA
Rfam family: 5.8S ribosomal RNA
About the family: 5.8S ribosomal RNA (5.8S rRNA) is a component of the large subunit of the eukaryotic ribosome. It is transcribed by RNA polymerase I as part of the 45S precursor that also contains 18S and 28S rRNA. Functionally, it is thought that 5.8S rRNA may be involved in ribosome translocation.
Source: RNAcentral